This 1262-nucleotide ribosomal RNA is filed under the name Agrococcus jenensis. RNAcentral describes it as "bacterial SSU rRNA". It matches the Rfam family "Bacterial small subunit ribosomal RNA", at positions 54 to 1328 of the family's 1533-position model. The record is from RNAcentral. Lineage: Bacteria; Bacillati; Actinomycetota; Actinomycetes; Micrococcales; Microbacteriaceae.
CAUGCAAGUCGAACGAUGAAGGAAGAGCUUGCUCCUCCGGAUUAGUGGCGAACGGGUGAGUAAUACGUGAGCAAUGUGCCCUUGACUCUGGGAUAAGCGCUGGAAACGGCGUCUAAUACCGGAUACGACCCUCGGAGGCAUCUCCUGUGGGUGGAAAGAACUUCGGUCAAGGAUCAGCUCACGGCCUAUCAGCUUGUUGGUGAGGUAAUGGCUCACCAAGGCGACGACGGGUAGCCGGCCUGAGAGGGUGACCGGCCACACUGGGACUGAGACACGGCCCAGACUCCUACGGGAGGCAGCAGUGGGGAAUAUUGCACAAUGGGCGCAAGCCUGAUGCAGCAACGCCGCGUGAGGGACGAAGGCCUUCGGGUUGUAAACCUCUUUUAGCAGGGAAGAAGCGAAAGUGACGGUACCUGCAGAAAAAGCACCGGCUAACUACGUGCCAGCAGCCGCGGUAAUACGUAGGGUGCAAGCGUUGUCCGGAAUUAUUGGGCGUAAAGAGCUCGUAGGCGGUUUGUCGCGUCUGCUGUGAAAACCCGAGGCUCAACCUCGGGCUUGCAGUGGGUACGGGCAGACUAGAGUGCGGUAGGGGAGAUUGGAAUUCCUGGUGUAGCGGUGGAAUGCGCAGAUAUCAGGAGGAACACCGAUGGCGAAGGCAGAUCUCUGGGCCGUAACUGACGCUGAGGAGCGAAAGCAUGGGGAGCAAACAGGCUUAGAUACCCUGGUAGUCCAUGCCGUAAACGUUGGGAACUAGAUGUGGGGACCAUUCCACGGUCUCCGUGUCGUAGCUAACGCAUUAAGUUCCCCGCCUGGGGAGUACGGCCGCAAGGCUAAAACUCAAAGGAAUUGACGGGGGCCCGCACAAGCGGCGGAGCAUGCGGAUUAAUUCGAUGCAACGCGAAGAACCUUACCAAGGCUUGACAUAUACCGGAAACGUCCAGAGAUGGUCGCCCCGCAAGGUCGGUAUACAGGUGGUGCAUGGUUGUCGUCAGCUCGUGUCGUGAGAUGUUGGGUUAAGUCCCGCAACGAGCGCAACCCUCGUCCUAUGUUGCCAGCACGUAAUGGUGGGAACUCAUGGGAUACUGCCGGGGUCAACUCGGAGGAAGGUGGGGAUGAGGUCAAAUCAUCAUGCCCCUUAUGUCUUGGGCUUCACGCAUGCUACAAUGGCCGGUACAAUGGGCUGCGAUACCGUAAGGUGGAGCGAAUCCCAAAAAGCCGGUCUCAGUUCGGAUUGAGGUCUGCAACUCGACCUCAUGAAGUCG